RNAcentral lists this ribosomal RNA (253 nucleotides) under uncultured bacterium. RNAcentral's name for it is "partial 16S ribosomal RNA". It matches the Rfam family "Bacterial small subunit ribosomal RNA", at positions 524 to 776 of the family's 1533-position model. The record is from RNAcentral.
UACAGAGGUCCCAAGCGUUGUUCGGAUUCACUGGGCGUAAAGGGUGCGUAGGCGGUCGGGUAAGUCUGAUGUGAAAUCUCACAGCUUAACUGUGAAACUGCAUUGGAUACUAUUCGGCUUGAGAGUUGGAGGGGGGACUGGAAUUCUUGGUGUAGCAGUGAAAUGCGUAGAUAUCAAGAGGAACACCAGUGGCGGAGGCGAGUCCCUGGACAACUUCUGACGCUGAGGCACGAAAGCUAGGGGAGCAAACAGG